RNAcentral lists this long non-coding RNA (2079 nucleotides) under Canis lupus familiaris (dog). Its description in RNAcentral is "lncRNA (ENSCAFG00040004639.1)". The record is from RNAcentral. Lineage: Eukaryota; Metazoa; Chordata; Mammalia; Carnivora; Canidae.
AUGAGUGGCUGGCUGGGAAGAGGUCAGCCGAAGUUGUGCAGGGCAAGCCUGAACAUGUCAUUGGUGCAAACCCAAGCAUCAUUGAUGUUCUUUAAUAGGAACAUCUGGUGGAACCCCAUGAUGGGGUCUUCAUCAGCCUUGAGCUGGUCCUGUGCCGUGAUGCUGUGCUGGAUUUUCUGGAACAGAAGGCUAGACGACUUCUCCCCAAUGGCAGCUUUCCCCUGGAACUGCUGUCCUUCCCACAUAACGCAUGAUGCAUCAAUAUAAAUUGCACCUAGUUGGGUUCUGUCGUUAUAAAAUAACUGGUAGUAAUGCUGAAUGAAGGUGGAUCCAAUCUGCUCCCAAACUGGCUUGUCUCCCAUUCAGGAGCAUCACCCGGCCUCGUUGAGACUUGAGGGGCUGGCAUGAUAGCGGCAGCGGUGGGCGGCGGCCUAUUAUUCUCAUUUUAAAAUGUAGGUAUGAAAGAGAAACAGAUGUGACUGACUCCAGAAAAAGUACCAAGUCUCAACCUCUAUGCCUUGAGGUUGCAUUGAGGAGGGUUUGAGGCAAGACUGAAAUAUAGUCCUAAAGUAUAAUUAGAAUCAGUACAGACUAAAUUGGGGAGGGCAGCCCGGGUGGAUCCGUGGUUUAGCGCCGCCUUCAGCCCAGGACCUGAUCCUGGAGACUCGGGAUCGAAUCCCACGUAGGGCUCCCUACAUGGAGCCUACUUCUCUGCCUGUGUCUCUGCCUCUCUCUCUCUCUCUCUCUCUCUCUGUGUGUCUCAUGAAUAAAUAAAUAAAAUCUUUAAAAAAAACAAACAAACGUAGGGAUCCCUGGGUGGCGCAGCGGUUUGGCGCCUGCCUUUGGCCCAGGGCGCGAUCCUGGAGACUCGGGAUCGAAUCCCACGUCGGGCUCCCGGUGCAUGGAGCCUGCUUCUCCCUCUGCCUGUGUCUCUGCCUCUCUCUCUGUCUGUGACUAUAAUAAAUAAAUAAAUAAAUAAAUAAAUAAAUAAAUAAAUAAAUAUUAAAAAAAAAAAAAAACCUAAAUUGGGGAAAGGGGAUCUGAUAAGGCUGAAGACAAAGUAGGGAAGAAGGUAUACCAGAAACAUGGUUCAAUUCACCUUGAGAAGACAGAUGUUGGAAUGGGUAGAAUUAUACAGGCAGGAGAACCCAGGUUGUUAAUGCACAUGCUUGCAUCUGACUCUUAGCUUCUCUACUUAGUAUUUACAGAACUCUUCAAGUGACUUAACCUUUCUGUGUACUACAUGUUUGCCAACGUCAUAGGGCUUUAUGGAGAUUAAUAUGAGCAUGUAUAGAAAGACAGUAUCUGACAUAGGGUUACCAUUAUUCGUGUUUGGCAAUUUUAUUAUUAUUAGCAUUAGUACUACUUUAAAAAUUGCACUCAUUCAAUUUAUAGAUUUUGGUAUAUUAAUCAAAAACCUUAUCUUAUUUUUAUAUUUGUUCUUCUUUUGCCCUAAGUCUCUAUGAUGUAGAUUAAAUGCAUUCUGGAUUUAAAAAAUUAUUUUAGUGGAUGCCUGGGUGUCUCAGUGGUUGAGCACCUCCUUUUGGUCCAGGGUGUGAUCGUGGAGUCCCAGGAUCAAGUCCCACACGAACUCUCUGCAUGGAGCCUGCUUCUCCCUCUGCUUGUCUCUGCCUCUCUGUGUCUCUCAUGAAUAAAUAAAUAAAAUCUUUAAAAAAUUAUUUUAGGGCUAUCUAUUUUAAUGUUCAGAUUUUAGUGUGAGAAAAUCAGGCUCAAAUAGGUGAAUGAUUUGGCUAUAGCCACAUAAUGUUAUGUGUCUGUAUUCAAGCCUCAGCUUGUGAUGAUUGGAAAGAGCAGAAGUAGUAUAUCUAUACCUUAUAGAUAGCAAACCAAAACUCUAGCAGUCAUAGAUUCUUAAUUUUUUUUUUGUAAAGGUCUUAUUUCAAGUAUCUGUUCUGUUAUAAGCCUGGCUAUAAUGUUCUAUGUCUGAUCAAGGCUAUAGGCCGCAACUUUAAAAUUAAUUUGGAAGGUUGUUAGUUUUACUUCCCCCUCCUCUCAUUAUUUGCUGUGUACAAAUAGCUGCUUUGAUGAGUGUGCUUGUCCAGUUGGUCUCAGUGACAU